Molecule: ribosomal RNA, 407 nt
Filed under: uncultured Jatrophihabitans sp.
Lineage: Bacteria; Bacillati; Actinomycetota; Actinomycetes; Jatrophihabitantales; Jatrophihabitantaceae
Description: bacterial SSU rRNA
Rfam family: Bacterial small subunit ribosomal RNA
Source: RNAcentral
UGGGGAAUAUUGCACAAUGGGCGAAAGCCUGAUGCAGCGACGCCGCGUGAGGGAUGACUGCCUUCGGGUUGUAAACCUCUUUCAGCUCCGACGAAGCGAAAGUGACGGUAGGAGCAGAAGAAGCACCGGCCAACUACGUGCCAGCAGCCGCGGUAAUACGUAGGGUGCAAGCGUUGUCCGGAAUUAUUGGGCGUAAAGAGCUCGUAGGCGGCUUGUCGCGUCGGCUGUGAAAACCUGGGGCUCAACCCCGGGCCUGCAGCCGAUACGGGCAAGCUAGAAUUCGGUAGGGGAGACUGGAAUUCCUGGUGUAGCGGUGAAAUGCGCAGAUAUCAGGAGGAACACCGGUGGCGAAGGCGGGUCUCUGGGCCGAUAUUGACGCUGAGGAGCGAAAGCGUGGGGAGCGAACA